This 252-nucleotide ribosomal RNA is filed under the name uncultured Bacteroidales bacterium. Its description in RNAcentral is "partial 16S ribosomal RNA". It matches the Rfam family "Bacterial small subunit ribosomal RNA", at positions 524 to 776 of the family's 1533-position model. Lineage: Bacteria; Pseudomonadati; Bacteroidota; Bacteroidia; Bacteroidales. The record is from RNAcentral.
UACGGAGGAUGCGAGCGUUAUCCGGAUUUAUUGGGUUUAAAGGGUGCGUAGGCGGGCUUUUAAGUCAGCGGUAAAAAUUCGGGGCUCAACCCCGUCCGGCCGUUGAAACUGGCGGCCUCGAGUGGGCGAGAAGUAUGCGGAAUGCGUGGUGUAGCGGUGAAAUGCAUAGAUAUCACGCAGAACUCCGAUUGCGAAGGCAGCAUGCCGGCUUCCUACUGACGCUGAAGCACGAAAGCGUGGGGAUCGAACAGG